CAAUAGCGUAUAUUAAAGUUGUUGCGGUAAAAAAGCUCGUAGUUGGAUUUCUGUUGAGAGCGACCGGUCCAUACCAUGUAUGCGUAUCUGGCUUGCUCUCGGCAUCCUCUCGAUAGACGUUACUGCGCUUGAUUGCGUGGUGCGGAUCUCGGGACUUUUACUUUGAGGAAAUUAGAGUGUUCACGGCAGGCUUUCGCCAGAAUACAUUAGCAUGGAAUAAUACUAUAGGAUCUUGGUUCUAUUUUGUUGGUUUCUAGAAUUGAGAUAAUGAUUAAUAGGGACAAUUGGGGGCAUUCGUAUCAACACGUCAGAGGUGGAAUUCUUGGAUUUUGUUGCGACGAACUACUGCGAAAGCAUUUGCCAAGGAUGUUUUCAUUGA
This 379-nucleotide ribosomal RNA is filed under the name uncultured eukaryote. RNAcentral describes it as "partial 18S ribosomal RNA". It matches the Rfam family "Eukaryotic small subunit ribosomal RNA", at positions 592 to 976 of the family's 1831-position model. The record is from RNAcentral.